Molecule: ribosomal RNA, 274 nt
Filed under: uncultured bacterium
Lineage: Bacteria
Description: partial 16S ribosomal RNA
Rfam family: Bacterial small subunit ribosomal RNA
Source: RNAcentral
AUACGGAGGGUGCAAGCGUUAUUCGGAAUCACUGGGCGUAAAGGACGCGUAGGCGGGUUGGCAAGUCAGAUGUGAAAUCCUACAGCUUAACUGUAGAACUGCAUUUGAAACUGCUAACCUAGAGUAUGGGAGGGGGAGAUGGAAUUAGUGGUGUAGGGGUAAAAUCCGUAGAUAUCACUAGGAAUACCGAAAGCGAAGGCGAUCUCCUGGAACAUAACUGACGCUAAGGCGUGAAAGCGUGGAGAGCAAACAGGAUUAGAAACCCUAGUAGUCC